CAGUGUUACAGCUCGUUUAGAAUUUGUACAGCAGGUUUUAUGGUUUCUACCAGAAAACCCCC
Molecule: small nuclear RNA, 62 nt
Filed under: Piliocolobus tephrosceles (Ugandan red Colobus)
Lineage: Eukaryota; Metazoa; Chordata; Mammalia; Primates; Cercopithecidae
Description: U7 small nuclear RNA (ENSPTEG00000038548.1)
Rfam family: U7 small nuclear RNA
About the family: Animal histone pre-mRNAs are spliced by a different mechanism than nuclear pre-mRNAs and self-splicing introns. This processing involves the U7 snRNP, which contains only one RNA species: U7.
Source: Rfam by way of RNAcentral